RNAcentral lists this ribosomal RNA (468 nucleotides) under uncultured bacterium. RNAcentral describes it as "partial 16S ribosomal RNA". It matches the Rfam family "Bacterial small subunit ribosomal RNA", at positions 28 to 507 of the family's 1533-position model. The record is from RNAcentral.
GACGAACGCUGGCGGCGUGCUUAACACAUGCAAGUCGAACGGAAAGGCCCUGCUUUUGUGGGGUGCUCGAGUGGCGAACGGGUGAGUAACACGUGAGUAACCUGCCCUUGACUUUGGGAUAACUUCAGGAAACUGGGGCUAAUACCGGAUAGGAGCUCCUGCUGCAUGGGGGGGGUUGGAAAGUUUCGGCGGUUGGGGAUGGACUCGAGGCUUAUCAGCUUGUUGGUGGGGUAGUGGCUUACCAAGGCAUUGACGGGUAGCCGGCCUGAGCGGGUGACGGGCCACAUUGGGACUGAGAUACGGCCCAGACGCCUACGGGAGGCAGCAGUGGGGAAUAUUGCACAAUGGGCGGAAGCCUGAUGAAGCAACGCUGCGUGCGGGAUGAAGGCCUUCUGGUUGUAAACCGCUUCCGCCUCUGACGAAGAGUGAGUGACGGUAAUUGGUAAAGAAGCACCGGCUAACUACGUG